Scophthalmus maximus (turbot) is the source of this 556-nucleotide long non-coding RNA. RefSeq lists it as uncharacterized. The transcript has 2 exons. Lineage: Eukaryota; Metazoa; Chordata; Actinopteri; Pleuronectiformes; Scophthalmidae. The record is from RefSeq and is a predicted model, not a curated record.
AAUGAAAACACAAGAUCAUGACAGCUGCAGUAUGACAACUCUACUAUUAUGAUCUUCAGGGACAUGUCCACAACUCUCUACCGGAGAAGAAAAGCCUUCACGACGCUGAAGAAGAAGCUGCACGAGAAAGACAUCUCCUUCAGGCUGCUCCAUCCAACCAACCUGGUCCUGGACCUCCCGGAAGGCAGACGCACCUUCACCUCUCCGGUGGCGGCAAAGCACUCCCUGACGAAGAAUCAUCCAGACGUGCUGAUCUGAACUAAAGAGGGAGUAAGGAACUGAGAGCCCCUGGUGGAGAGACUGGUGACUGCGGGUGGCGGUAUCUCCCUCCUUGUGUGUGUCCUGCACCCUUGGUUUGAGUGUGUGUGUGUUUUUCACAUGUGAUCAGGGUGACUCUUUCCUGGGAUCCCUCGUCCCUCCUUGACCCAGCUCUCCAUUGGAAAGCCUCAGCUCUGAUCAGGCUUCCCCAUUUUCUCUUUCAUAUCAGUGCAUUAACUGUUUGUUGUUGUGCAAUUUUAUAUAUAUUUUGUAAUAAAAGACAUGACUCUGUUUUAAA